Molecule: long non-coding RNA, 450 nt
Organism: Mytilus californianus (California mussel)
Lineage: Eukaryota; Metazoa; Mollusca; Bivalvia; Mytilida; Mytilidae
Exons: 3
Source: RefSeq, a predicted model, not a curated record
CUAUUCGAGAAAUAAUGAUGGAGAGUGGAAAAUAGAGAUCGAUGUUGCAGAUGAUUCAACUGGAUUUUUUAGUAACUGCCAUAAAAAUGACACUAAAGCAAAUUUGAAGAAUCUCGAUGUAGGCUUUAUGGGGAAAAUCCAAUGUAGCGCUAUUUGUGCGAAGAUGAAAGAUUGCGUAGGAAUUAAUUACAGCAUUGAAAUGUACAGAUGUGAACUGUUGUCGUUUGACCCUGGUCUUGUUACUGCAAUCCCUCAGUCUUUAACACCUGGAUGGUCUUACUACACUAAAUGUUUUAGGCAUAGGGAAGUAUGCAUUGGAUGUUUCUUCUGAGACUUGAUUCUUGAAAGAUAGUGAUAAUAGGCAGACAUUAAGGACUGAUUGGAAAACAUUUUCUUGUUGUUUAUUGAUAAAACGUAGAAUUUUAAAUAUAAGGACUUCAUGGAAUGGCA